This 1961-nucleotide ribosomal RNA is filed under the name Myxobolus pseudodispar. Its description in RNAcentral is "SSU rRNA". It matches the Rfam family "Eukaryotic small subunit ribosomal RNA". Lineage: Eukaryota; Metazoa; Cnidaria; Myxozoa; Bivalvulida; Myxobolidae. The record is from RNAcentral.
UCUGGUUGAUCCUGCCAGUGAAUCAUGCUAUUCUUGAAGAUUAAGCCAUGCAUGUGCCAAGUUCAAACGUUAAUAUCGUGAGACUGCGGAAGGCUCAGUAUAUCAGUGAUUAUCUGUUUGAUUGUCUAACCUAUGGAUAACCGUGGGAAAUCUAGAGCUAAUACAUGCAGUUUAUGGUCAGGCUUGCUUGGCCAAGCAUUUAUUAGUUUUAACCAAUUACUGCGCAAGCAGUAAGGUGAAUCUAGAUAACUUUGCUGAUCGCACGGCUUUGCCGGCGACGUUUCAAUUGAGUUUCUGCCCUAUCAAUUUGUUGGUAAGGUAUUGGCUUACCAAGGUUGUAACGGGUAACGGGGAAUCAGGGUUCGAUUCCGGAGAGGGAGCUUGAGAAUCGGCUACCACAUCCAAGGAAGGCAGCAGGCGCGCAAAUUACCAAAUCUAGACAGUAGGAGGUGGUGAAGAGAAGUACUAAGUGGUGGUUAUUUACUACCAGCUUGGAAUGGACGUAAUUUAAGCAAUUCGAUGAGUAACUACUGGAGGGCAAGUCCUGGUGCCAGCAGCCGCGGUAAUUCCAGCUCCAGUGGCGUGAUUUAAAGUUGCUGCGUUUAAAACGCUCGUAGUUGGAUCAAGCGGUGUCAGUUUGUAUUCUGCGGUGAGCAUUUGACUGCUUCAGUCGAUGCUUACCGUAGAUUAAAACGCAAACUGUCACUAUUUAAUCGCAAAUAUGUUAGUUGACCUUUAAUGAGUUGAGUAUCAUAUUUUGCAGAGUUGUGCCUUGAAUAAAACAGAGUGCUCAAAGCAGGCGAACGCUUGAAUGUUGUAGCAUGGAACGAACAAACGUGUAUUCGCACACGUCGUGCGAAACGGAUGUGCUUCUGGUGCGUCUGUUUUGCUGAUGUGUGCAUCACCCGCCAAAGUACGAUUGUUGGUUAUCGUAUUAGGUGAUGAUUAAAAGGAGCGGUUGGGGGCAUUGGUAUUUGGACGCGAGAGGUGAAAUUCAAAGACCGUCCAAGGACUAACAAAUGCGAAGGCAUCUGUCCAGACCGUAUCCAUUAAUCAAGAACGAAAGUGGGAGGUUCGAAGACGAUUAGAUACCGUCGUAGUUCCCACUGUAAACUAUGCCGACUAGGGAUCAGCUUGGUGAUAUUACAAGCACCAAGUUGGUCUCCAAGGGAAACCAUAAGUUUUUCGGUUACGGGGAGAGUAUGGUCGCAAGGCUGAAAUUUAAAGGAAUUGACGGAAGGGCACCACCAGGGGUGGAACCUGCGGCUUAAUUUGACUCAACACGGGGAAACUUACAUGGUCCAGACAUCGAUAGGAUAAACAGACUGAUAGAUCUUUUUUGAUGCGGUGAGUGGUGGUGCAUGGCCGUUCCUAGUUCGUGGAGUGAUCUGUCAGGUUUAUUCCGGUAACGAACGAGAUUACAACCUUCAUUUAAGAGGCAAAAGCAGGUUUCGCGAUUGAUUGUACUUGUACUUUUUUUCGUGUCUCUGUAAGAAGAAUAUUCAAGUUCUCAGUUGGUUGGGCAAUCAGGCAACUGUGAACUCAAUCAUCUGUGGAAUGCGGGUAUUUUCUCUUUUGUCAAGCAGUCAUUGGGUGACCUUUGGCUGACUUAUGGAGGGACUGCUGGUGUUACAAAACCAGAGGAAGUGUGGCGAUAACAGGUCAGUGAUGCCCUUCGAUGUCCAUGGCUGCACGCGCGUUACAAUGAUAACGACAGAAAGUAUCCGUUUCGAGAGAAAUAGGUAAUCUUUAAUCGUUAUCGUGAUGGGGAUUGACCGUUGUAAAUCGGUCAUGAAAUAGGAAUCCCGAGUAUAUGCUAUUUAUUAAAUAGUAUAGAUUUAGUCCCUGCCCUUUGUACACACCGCCCGUCGCUACUACCGAGUGAAUGGUGUCAUGAUGCGCUGGGACCGUACUUUAAAGAGGUGUCAAAACCUUUUUAAAGAUGGAAUCAGCGUAAAAUG